AGAAUAUAUUUGUUUGAGAAUAAUAAUCUCCGCUCACUUCACUACACUCGCAAGUACAUCGUCUCGUGGCUGUACACUAUACGGUUACUAUACAGAGAAACAGCCAACUCGUAUUUUCCCGUACAGGUUUAAAAAGGUAAUAAUACUACACUAUACAUAGCUAGGUGGUAGUUUUAGUGCAGAUAAAAUCGUGUUCUUAUACUUCACGUGUCUCUUUACUGCGGUGGCGGCAUGUUUAUUGGCAUAGAGUUGUGCCAACCGCGUACUACCAUUUUAAUAGCCUCCGUAUCCAAUAAAUGGAUACCUAUAACGGUGUGUCAAUGUGGUGCUUUUCCCUUGACGACCACCUACUAUAAUAUAGUAU
Non-coding RNA from Cinara cedri, 364 nucleotides. The record is from the annotation of a GenBank genome assembly. NCBI's taxonomy places the organism in Eukaryota, Metazoa, Arthropoda, Insecta, Hemiptera, Aphididae.